Molecule: non-coding RNA, 672 nt
Organism: Chiloscyllium plagiosum (whitespotted bambooshark)
Lineage: Eukaryota; Metazoa; Chordata; Chondrichthyes; Orectolobiformes; Hemiscylliidae
Source: RefSeq, a predicted model, not a curated record
UCCAAGGAAAUUUUGCUAAUUGAAUCCAGAAGUGCAGAAAACAAAGGAAGAUGGGUGUUUUUUGUAACUGGAAGCCUGUAUCCAGUGGAGUUCCACAGGGAUCAGUGUUGGGGCCCUUACUGUUUGUGCAAUAAGCCUGUCAGUUGUGUUCUGCGGGGGAAAAAAGUGAGUCGCAAUUUUGAUUCCUAUGACAGAAGUUAAACUGUGCUCCAUCAAUGUCAGAGGUCACAUCACCACUUAUCAAGAGCCCACAGGACAUCUCACCAUCGCGCAGAUAAGGGAGCGGAACUCAGCAGCGCUGUUCGCCUGAAUGAUCAGCUCAGAGAACUCCUCGAAUUUCGACAGCAGAGCCAGUCAUAGCCUGCGGGGUAAUCAGGCAGUCAGUUCACAUCACCAUCAGAAGGCCACUGCAGUUACUUGAUUAAGUCUUUGCUGUAGAGCUGGUUUAAAGAUCACUGAUUCUGUCAAUUGCCUGGCAGGACCAAUCAGACCGCAGGUCACUGAUGAGGCACAUUCUCUUCUUAAUGGCUGUUUCCACUCAAACUACAAGUUUCAAAGAUACAAACAAAUCGGUUACAAGAGUUUAGGUGGAUUUUCUUUGUGUGUGUGUGCAUGGUAAAUAGAUGUGAGGGAUAUAUAACUUAAACAAAAGGGGAAUGUUUCUGGGUUAAA